GUAGAGCAGUUUGGUAGCUCACGAGGCUCAUAACCUUGAGGUCACGGGUUCGAUUCCCGUCUCCGCAC
Molecule: non-coding RNA, 68 nt
Organism: Hordeum vulgare subsp. vulgare (domesticated barley)
Lineage: Eukaryota; Viridiplantae; Streptophyta; Magnoliopsida; Poales; Poaceae
Source: Rfam